Molecule: ribosomal RNA, 465 nt
Filed under: uncultured bacterium
Lineage: Bacteria
Description: partial 16S ribosomal RNA
Rfam family: Bacterial small subunit ribosomal RNA
Source: RNAcentral
CCUACGGGUGGCAGCAGUGAGGAAUAUUGCGCAAUGGACGAAAGCCUGACGCAGCGAAGCCGCGUGAAGGAUGACGGUCUUCGGAUCGUUAACCUCUGUCAGCAUGGAAGAACGGUCACUGUGGUAAUCAGCAGUGAAUUGACGGUACCUGCAAAGGAAGCACCGGCUAACUCCGGGCCAGCAGCCGCGGUAAUACGGAGGGUGCGAGCGUUAAUCGGAAUUACUGGGAGGAAAGCGAGCGUAGGCGGUAUGUCAAGUCAAGGGUGAAAGUCCCCGGCUCAACGGUGGAAUUGCCUUUGAUACUGGCAAACUGGAGUGUGUGAGAGGAUGGUGGAAUUCGAGGUGUAGGAGUGAAAUCCUUAGAUAUCUGGAGGAACAUCAGUGGCGAAGGCGACUAUCUGGCACAUAACUGACGCUGAGGAGCGAAAGCGUGGGUAGCAAACAGGAUUAGAUACCCGGGUAGUC